GAUGAACGCUGGCGGCGUGCCUAAUACAUGCAAGUCGAGCGAACAGAUGAGGAGCUUGCUCCUCUGGCGUUAGCGGCGGACGGGUGAGUAACACGUGGAUAACCUACCUAUAAGACUGGGAUAACUUCGGGAAACCGGAGCUAAUACCGGAUAAUAUACUGAACCGCAUGGUUCAAUAGUGAAAGACGGUUUUGCUGUCACUUAUAGAUGGAUCCGCGCCGCAUUAGCUAGUUGGUAAGGUAACGGCUUACCAAGGCAACGAUGCGUAGCCGACCUGAGAGGGUGAUCGGCCACACUGGAACUGAGACACGGUCCAGACUCCUACGGGAGGCAGCAGUAGGGAAUCUUCCGCAAUGGGCGAAAGCCUGACGGAGCAACGCCGCGUGAGUGAUGAAGGUCUUCGGAUCGUAAAACUCUGUUAUUAGGGAAGAACAAAUGUGUAAGUAACUAUGCACGUCUUGACGGUACCUAAUCAGAAAGCCACGGCUAACUACGUG
This 497-nucleotide ribosomal RNA is filed under the name uncultured bacterium. Its description in RNAcentral is "partial 16S ribosomal RNA". It matches the Rfam family "Bacterial small subunit ribosomal RNA", at positions 28 to 507 of the family's 1533-position model. The record is from RNAcentral.